CGCUUAUCCAGAAAGACUGAGGGAAAAGGCCCUGUGAAGUCUUAGCAACCUGUACUAUAGUUAAGUCUAAAGUCAUGAGUCCGGAGUCAAAAAAGAUUAAAGCCGCAACUUUAUUUACGACUUACGAUUACAUACUCAAGACUAUAGACUCAAUACAAGGUGCUAACUCCUGCUCCGUUUACGGAGAAAGAUAGGUU
Molecule: non-coding RNA, 197 nt
Filed under: Mucilaginibacter sp.
Lineage: Bacteria; Pseudomonadati; Bacteroidota; Sphingobacteriia; Sphingobacteriales; Sphingobacteriaceae
Description: SAM-I sequence
Rfam family: SAM riboswitch aptamer (S box leader)
About the family: The SAM riboswitch is found upstream of a number of genes which code for proteins involved in methionine or cysteine biosynthesis in Gram-positive bacteria. The SAM riboswitch acts at the level of transcription termination control.
Source: RNAcentral